CAUCAAAUGACUGAAAGCAAGUAAUGGUCUCUUAAACCAAAAUAUAGUAAUUAGCGACCACUUUUGAUGA
Molecule: transfer RNA, 70 nt
Filed under: Orestes guangxiensis
Lineage: Eukaryota; Metazoa; Arthropoda; Insecta; Phasmatodea; Heteropterygidae
Description: tRNA-Lys
Source: RNAcentral